GGGGGCUAGCGUUGCUCGGAAUUACUGGGCGUAAAGGGCGCGUAGGCGGACAGUUUAGUCAGAGGUGAAAGCCCAGGGCUCAACCUUGGAACUGCCUUUGAUACUGACUGUCUUGAGUUCGGGAGAGGUGAGUGGAAUGCCGAGUGUAGAGGUGAAAUUCGUAGAUAUUCGGCGGAACACCAGUGGCGAAGGCGACUCACUGGCCCGAUACUGACGCUGAGGCACGAAAGCGUGGGGAUCAAACAGG
This 247-nucleotide ribosomal RNA is filed under the name uncultured bacterium. RNAcentral describes it as "partial 16S ribosomal RNA". It matches the Rfam family "Bacterial small subunit ribosomal RNA", at positions 530 to 776 of the family's 1533-position model. The record is from RNAcentral.